AUCAUACACAAGCAAAAUACCCAUAGCUCCACGGUAGUAAGCAGUUGUAAUUGUUCGAAAACGCUCUUGACCAGCAGUAUCCCAAAUUUGCAAUUUAAUCCGUUUUCCAUCAAGCUCAAUUGUUCUUAUCUUAAAAUCAAUUCCAAUGGUUGUAAUGAAACUAGUUGUAAAGGAACCAUCUGAGAAACGCAAAAGAAGGCAACUCUUACCCACACCGCUAUCGCCGAUCAAGAGAAGCUUUAUAAGGUAAUCGUAAUCGGCACGAGCUCUUGCAGGUGGAGCAGCCAUUGAUGAAUUACAGAUCGGGAAGGUGAGAGUGAGAUCUAUCUAAUUAGAGGAGAUUAGUAAUGAAGAAGGAAAGUGUCUUCCAGUUCCAGCACGUCAGCACCGGUCGGCCAUUGAAAAAUUUUUAGAGAGAGAAAGAGAACAGAAGAGAGGAUUGUUAAGGGAGAAGCUUCGAUGCAACUUUUAACUAUAGUAUUCCCCUUAUGGCCGUUCGAUUAUGGAUUGUUU
This 513-nucleotide unclassified non-coding RNA is filed under the name Hevea brasiliensis (rubber tree). The record is from RNAcentral. Lineage: Eukaryota; Viridiplantae; Streptophyta; Magnoliopsida; Malpighiales; Euphorbiaceae.